Molecule: long non-coding RNA, 392 nt
Organism: Antechinus flavipes (yellow-footed antechinus)
Lineage: Eukaryota; Metazoa; Chordata; Mammalia; Dasyuromorphia; Dasyuridae
Exons: 3
Source: RefSeq, a predicted model, not a curated record
UUAUGAUGCCUGGCAUCCAGUAGGCACAUAAUAAAUGCUUGUUGAAUGAAAGAAUAAGUUUUAGAUGCAUUAUUGAAUACAUCUUAGCUCUUCCCCAUUGUCCUGGGUAUGCUUGUGACAUCAAUCAGAAUUCCAGCAGUCAGAAGUCAUAGAUCCUGAUGCUCAAGAUCACUCAACUGGAAUGAAAAAGGAGCUUGUGAUGACAGAUGAUACUUGGAAGACUAGCAAAAGGUGAAGACAGCAGAGCCAGAGCCAAACAAACAUCAGUUCUACCAAGUAGAUUUCCUUAUUGGCCACACCUGGCAGCCUGAUCAUCAUUCCUACCCUGUAAGUUUCUCUCACCUCCUGUGUGAUACUCACUUUUAAUUCUUCAGCCACUAUUGUCUACCAUG